UGGGGAAUAUUGCACAAUGGGCGCAAGCCUGAUGCAGCCAUGCCGCGUGUAUGAAGAAGGCCUUCGGGUUGUAAAGUACUUUCAGUCGGGAGGAAGGUGGUAAGGUUAAUAACCUUAUCAAUUGACGUUACCCGCAGAAGAAGCACCGGCUAACUCCGUGCCAGCAGCCGCGGUAAUACGGAGGGUGCAAGCGUUAAUCGGAAUUACUGGGCGUAAAGCGCACGCAGGCGGUUUGUUAAGUCAGAUGUGAAAUCCCCGGGCUCAACCUGGGAACUGCAUCUGAUACUGGCAAGCUUGAGUCUCGUAGAGGGGGGUAGAAUUCCAGGUGUAGCGGUGAAAUGCGUAGAGAUCUGGAGGAAUACCGGUGGCGAAGGCGGCCCCCUGGACGAAGACUGACGCUCAGGUGCGAAAGCGUGGGGAGCAAACAGG
RNAcentral lists this ribosomal RNA (429 nucleotides) under Chloroflexota bacterium. RNAcentral describes it as "Chloroflexi bacterium partial 16S ribosomal RNA". It matches the Rfam family "Bacterial small subunit ribosomal RNA", at positions 355 to 776 of the family's 1533-position model. The record is from RNAcentral. Lineage: Bacteria; Bacillati; Chloroflexota.